GGAAGACAGAAUAAGAGAGGUCUGGGGAAGCUAGGCCCAGGGUUGGGGGAUCAGAAGGCAAUGUUCUUGGGGGAUCACCACCAUGACCUGGACUCUGCUCCUCCUCACCAUCCUCACUCAGGGCUCAGGUUCCUGGGCCCAGACUCCCCUGACUCAGCCUCCCUCAGUGUCUGGGUCUCCUGCACAGUCUGUCACCAUCUCCUGUGCUGGAAGCAGCAAUGAUGUUGGGUAUGGUAGUUAUGUCUCCUGGUACCAACAACAACCGGGCACGGCCCCUAAACUCCUGAUUUAUGAAGUCACAAAGCGGCCCUCAGGGAUCCCUGAUCGCUUCUCUGGCUCCAAGUCUGGCAACACGGCCUCCCUGACCAUCUCUGGGCUCCAGGCUGAGGAUGAGGCUGAUUACUACUGUGCUUCAUAUAGGAGUGGUAACACUCUCCACAGUGGUGCAAGUUGAUGGGGAAGUGAG
Molecule: non-coding RNA, 466 nt
Organism: Phyllostomus hastatus (greater spear-nosed bat)
Lineage: Eukaryota; Metazoa; Chordata; Mammalia; Chiroptera; Phyllostomidae
Source: the annotation of a RefSeq genome assembly